GAUUAUGGCUCAGAACGAACGCUGCGGCGUGGAUUAGGCAUGCAAGUCGAACGGGACUUUAUGUUGUAGCAAUACUUUAUAAAGUCUAGUGGCGUAAGGGUGAGUAACACGUGGGUAACGUACCCGAUAGUUUGGGAUAACGUUCCGAAAGGGACGCUAAUACCGGAUGUGAUGUUAAAACGCUGGUUUUAACAAGAAAGGUGGGGACCGCAAGGCCUGCCGCUAACGGAACGGCCCGCGACCUAUUAGCUAGUUGGUGGGGUAAAGGCCUACCAAGGCGAGGAUGGGUAGCCGAACUGAGAGGUUGACCGGCCACACUGGGACUGAGACACUGCCCAGACUUCUACGGAAGGCUGCAGUCGAGAAUCAUUCACAAUGGACGAAAGUCUGAUGAUGCGACGCCGCGUGCGCGAUGAAGGUCUUCGGAUUGUAAAGCGCUUUGAACAGGGAAGAAUGCCGCGUAUUUAAUAGAUAACGCGGAGGGACAGUACCUGACAAACAAGCCCCGGCUAAUUUCGUGCCAGCCGCCGC
RNAcentral lists this ribosomal RNA (531 nucleotides) under uncultured bacterium. Its description in RNAcentral is "bacterial SSU rRNA". It matches the Rfam family "Bacterial small subunit ribosomal RNA", at positions 15 to 518 of the family's 1533-position model. The record is from RNAcentral.